RNAcentral lists this ribosomal RNA (253 nucleotides) under uncultured bacterium. Its description in RNAcentral is "partial 16S ribosomal RNA". It matches the Rfam family "Bacterial small subunit ribosomal RNA", at positions 524 to 776 of the family's 1533-position model. The record is from RNAcentral.
UACGUAGGGGGCUAGCGUUGUCCGGAAUCAUUGGGCGUAAAGCGCGUGUAGGCGGUCCGGUAAGUCCGCUGUGAAAGUCGGGGGCUCAACCCUCGGAUGCCGGUGGAUACUGUCGGGCUUGAGUACGGAAGAGGCGAGUGGAAUUCCUGGUGUAGCGGUGAAAUGCGUAGAUAUCGGGAGGAACACCCGUGGCGAAGGCGGCUCUCUGGGCUGUAACUGACGCUGAGGAGCGAAAGCGUGGGGAGCAAACAGG